Molecule: ribosomal RNA, 460 nt
Filed under: uncultured bacterium
Lineage: Bacteria
Description: bacterial SSU rRNA
Rfam family: Bacterial small subunit ribosomal RNA
Source: RNAcentral
CUACGGGAGGCAGCAGUGAGGAAUAUUGGGCAAUGCCCGCAAGGGUGACCCAGCAACGCCGCGUGGAGGAUGAAGGCCGUAAGGUUGUAAACUCCUGUUAGAGGGGAAGAAUAGUACCGGUUGGACCGGUAUAUGACUGUACCCUCAGAGAAAGCCCCGGCUAACUACGUGCCAGCAGCCGCGGUAAUACGUAGGGGGCAAGCGUUGUCCGGAUUUACUGGGUGUAAAGGGCGCGCAGGCGGGAUAAAAAGUCAGUGGUGAAAUCCUACAGCUUAACUGUAGAACUGCCUUUGAUACUUUUAUUCUUGAGUUCGGGAGAGAGAGACGGAAUUCCAGGUGUAGUGGUGAAAUACGUAGAUAUCUGGAAGAACACCAGUUGCGAAGGCGGUCUCUUGGUCCGAUACUGACGCUGAGGCGCGAAAGCGUGGGGAGCAAACAGGAUUAGAUACCCCUGUAGUCC